CCUACGGGAGGCAGCAGUAAGGAAUAUUGGUCAAUGGGCGCAAGCCUGAACCAGCCAUGCCGCGUGCAGGAAGACGGCCCUACGGGUUGUAAACUGCUUUUGUACCGGAAUAAACCCUUUUACGUGUAGAAGGUUGAAUGUACGGUAAGAAUAAGGAUCGGCUAACUCCGUGCCAGCAGCCGCGGUAAUACGGAGGAUCCGAGCGUUAUCCGGAUUUAUUGGGUUUAAAGGGUGCGUAGGCGGCCUAUUAAGUCAGGGGUGAAAGACGGUAGCUCAACUAUCGCAGUGCCUUUGAUACUGAUGGGCUUGAAUGUACUUGAGGUAGGCGGAAUGUGACAAGUAGCGGUGAAAUGCAUAGAUAUGUCACAGAACACCAAUUGCGAAGGCAGCUUACUAAAGUAUGAUUGACGCUGAGGCACGAAAGCGUGGGGAUCAAACAGGAUUAGAUACCCUGGUAGUCCACGCCCUAAACGAUGAAUACUCGAUGUUGGCGAUAUACGGCCAGCGUCUAAGCGAAAGCGUUAAGUAUUCCACCUGGGGAGUACGCCGCAAGGGUGAAACUUAAGGAAUUGAGGCUGNGAGNGCGAGGCGACGACGAGGAGAGG
This 605-nucleotide ribosomal RNA is filed under the name uncultured bacterium. Its description in RNAcentral is "bacterial SSU rRNA". It matches the Rfam family "Bacterial small subunit ribosomal RNA", at positions 338 to 945 of the family's 1533-position model. The record is from RNAcentral.